UGGAAAGCAUCCAUAUUCCUCAGCAUAGAAUUCUGCCUUUCUACUUCUUCUUGAAUUGCAGAAUUACAUAAAUAUAAUAUACGUGUGUGUAUAUAUAUAUAUAUAUAUAUAUAUAUUAUCAAAUUACUUUCUCAUGCAAACUUGAAGUAGUACACUUAUCCAGAGAUUUAAGGACUCCAUGGCAAAGGAGCUGACAGCUACUUUCGGACCCUAUGGUUGUUAUGAACCACCACUCAGUGGAAUGACGGAAUUUAUAGCACAGUUAGAGAAUUAAUUAUAUACUCUGGAGAUUAAAUUUAUUCCAUUUAAGUUGUCUAUGAUGAUGAAGGAAAGCCAGUGUCGGGAAAGAGGCAUGAUGGUAAAGCCGGCCGACCACACAGGGUGUUAUUGAAAUAUCCUACCGAGUACCUGGUUGCAAUAUCAGGGUAUUGUGGGUAUUAUCAGAAGGCAUAUCUUGUUGUGAAAUCUCUUACGUUCCACAGCAAUAAAAAGAUAUAUGGACCAUAUGGUAAGGAAGAAGGAAUUGAUUUUAUAACCCCGUUAUCUGCUGGCAAGAUUGUUGGAUUCUUUGGAAGGUAUGGUGAUUGCGUGGAUGCGAUUGGAAUACACGUUAGGCCAUUCAAUGGAAUAUCCGAUUCGAAUUCGGAGGAUGAUAAAAAAUUUAAACAAUGAUAAUGAGCCACCUUUUAGUAGUAUUUUAAUAAUUUAACUGCAUUUGAGUUCGAUGCAGUUACAAUAAUGGAUGCUCUGUAUUGUCUUUGAGACUCUUGGUGAAAGUGGUUAAGGCAACACAAAGUCUGUGUGUAAUUUCAAGUAAUUUUCAUGUUUUCUUGUAUGCUAGGCCUAAAAAUUUGGAUUGGUGAUGUAUUUUGUGAUAUUAUAUCAAUUAACUGAUAAGAUAUUGUAUGUUA
Long non-coding RNA from Cornus florida, 911 nucleotides. RefSeq lists it as uncharacterized. The record is from RefSeq and is a predicted model, not a curated record. The transcript is spliced from 2 exons. Lineage: Eukaryota; Viridiplantae; Streptophyta; Magnoliopsida; Cornales; Cornaceae.